GGAGGAGCACGAAGGUUGGCUAAGCAUGGUCGGACAUCAUGCGGUUAGUGCAAAGGCAUAAGCCAGCUUGACUGCGAGAGUGACGGCUCGAGCAGGUACGAAAGUAGGUCUUAGUGAUCCGGUGGUUCUGAAUGGAAGGGCCAUCGCUCAACGGAUAAAAGGUACUCCGGGGAUAACAGGCUGAUACCGCCCAAGAGUUCAUAUCGACGGCGGUGUUUGGCACCUCGAUGUCGGCUCAUCACAUCCUGGGGCUGAAGUAGGUCCCAAGGGUAUGGCUGUUCGCCAUUUAAAGUGGUACGCGAGCUGGGUUUAGAACGUCGUGAGACAGUUCGGUCCCUAUCUGCCGUGGGCGUUGGAAGAUUGAGAGGGGUUGCUCCUAGUACGAGAGGACCGGAGUGAACGCACCACUGGUGUUCGGGUUGUCAUGCCAAUGGCAUUGCCCGGUAGCUAAGUGCGGAAGAGAUAACCGCUGAAAGCAUCUAAGCGGGAAACUUGCC
This 497-nucleotide ribosomal RNA is filed under the name Proteus mirabilis. RNAcentral's name for it is "partial 23S ribosomal RNA". It matches the Rfam family "Bacterial large subunit ribosomal RNA", at positions 2302 to 2798 of the family's 2925-position model. The record is from RNAcentral. Lineage: Bacteria; Pseudomonadati; Pseudomonadota; Gammaproteobacteria; Enterobacterales; Morganellaceae.